This 115-nucleotide ribosomal RNA is filed under the name Chinchilla lanigera (long-tailed chinchilla). The record is from RNAcentral. Lineage: Eukaryota; Metazoa; Chordata; Mammalia; Rodentia; Chinchillidae.
CUUCAGCUGUACAACCCUGAAUGCACCUGAUCUUGUUUGAGCUUGAAAGCUCAGCAGGGUUAGAUCUGGUUAGUACUUGGAUGGGAGCAUCCUAAGUUUCCAAAAACUUAGAUGU